This 1503-nucleotide ribosomal RNA is filed under the name metagenome. Its description in RNAcentral is "bacterial LSU rRNA". It matches the Rfam family "Bacterial large subunit ribosomal RNA", at positions 1451 to 2925 of the family's 2925-position model. The record is from RNAcentral.
UUGGCGUUGAAGUAAGCGGGGACGGAGUAGGGUAGCCGAGCGCACGGUUGGUUGUGCGUUCAAGCCUGUAGAUUGGAUUGCCAGGACCCGAUAGGGACAAACGGCAGUCCGCGUAAUCGAGAGGUGAUGAGGUCGGGGCUUGCCCCGGAUACUCGGUAAUCCCAAGCUUCCAAGAAAAGCCGCGUACAGAGCCCCUUUAGUGUCCGUACCGCAAACCGACUCAGGUGGGCGGGGUGAGUAUCCCAAGGCGCGUGAGAGAACCCUGGUUAAGGAACUCGCAAAAUGACACCGUAACUUCGGGAGAAGGUGUGCCGGUCUGCGUGAAGGAGUUUACCUCCGGAGCGUGGGCUGGUUGCAGAGAAAUGGGGGUUGUGACUGUUUACUAAAAACACAGGACUCUGCGAAGUCGUAAGACGACGUAUAGGGUCUGAUGCCUGCCCGGUGCUGGAAGGUUAAGGGGACGAGUCAGCGAAAGCAAAGCUCAGAACCGAAGCCCCAGUAAACGGCGGCCGUAACGAUAACGGUCCUAAGGUAGCGAAAUUCCUUGUCGGGUAAGUUCCGACCUGCACGAGGGCAUAACAACAUCCCCGCUGUCUCGACCAGGGACUCAGCGAAAUUGUAUCGGGGGUGAAGAUACCCUCUACCCGCGGCAAGACGGAAAGACCCCAUGAACCUUUACUGCAACUUGGCAGUGAUUUUCGGGAUAUUCUGCGUAGGAUAGGUGGGAGGCUGUGAAGCCGGGCUUCUGGGUUCGGCUGAGCCAACGUUGAAAUACCACCCUGGAUAUUCUGGACAUCUAACCUAGAUCCAUCACCUGGAUCAGGGACACUGCCUGGUGGGCAGUUUGACUGGGGCGGUCGCCUCCUAAAAAGUAACGGAGGCGUGCGAAGGUUCCCUCAUCCUGAUUGGAAACCAGGAGUAGAGUGCAAACGCACAAGGGAGCUUAACUGUGAGACCGACAGGUCGAACAGGUGCGAAAGCAGGCGUUAGUGAUCCGGUGGUUCUGUAUGGAAGGGCCAUCGCUCAUCGGAUAAAAGGUACUCUGGGGAUAACAGGCUGAUCGCGCCUGAGAGUUCACAUCGGCGGCGCGGUUUGGCACCUCGAUGUCGGCCCAUCGCAUCCUGGGGCUGGAGCAGGUCCCAAGGGUUCGGCUGUUCGCCGAUUAAAGCGGUACGCGAGCUGGGUUUAAAACGUCGUGAGACAGUUUGGUCCCUAUCUGCCGUGGGCGUAGGACACUUGAGAGGAGCUGCUCAUAGUACGAGAGGACCUGAGUGGACGCACCUCUGGUGUUCCGGUUGUCCUGCCAAGGGCAUAGCCGGGUAGCCAUGUGCGGAACGGAUAACCGCUGAAAGCAUCUAAGCGGGAAGCCGGCCUCAAGACUAGGUGUCCCGAGUCGAAAGACUCCUAAAGACCCCUUGUAGACUACAAGGUUGAUAGGCCGGGUGUGGAAGCGAAGUAAUUCGCGGAGCUAACCGGUACUAAUAGGUCGUGCGGCUUGAUCAC